GCCUCAUUAUCUCAGGAGAUAUACACAGCAUUACCUAAUGUUUGGAGCCUCUGUGGGUAAUCUCAGAGAGUUCCGGGAAAAGCAUAGUCCUUUGUAACUGUGACCUUGUGGUAAUUAUUACUCUCCUGGCCACUGUGGAAAUGUCAGAAUGUCAGAAGACAGAGAUCCUACCCAUUCCUGAUUGUGGUUUUUUUCCAUAACCAUCAUUGUCAUCCUCACCAUCCUUCUUGUUAUUGAUGUUAAGAAUAUAUCAGAACGUCAUUUUGCCCCAUUGUUAAAUGAAAGUACCAGCAAUCACAAAGCCAAAAGAGUUUAAAAUAACUCAGAUCUUCUACUUAAAACUUGACACUAUGAAAUACUUUUGUUUCUAUCUUUAUUUAGAUUGUAUCUAAUAAGCAAGAAGUUAAUCUUUCAUUAAACCACCACAAAAUGUUACUUCACAUCUAUUAUUCCCAAGAGAGUUCUAUGUCAUUUGUUCCAUAAAAAGUUUUAUCCAAAUGUCCUUCUUAAAUGCAUAAUAGUUAAUAGUGCCCCACUUCAUAAGGGCGACAUUAUGCCAGGAUAGACUUUAACCUAACAGUCUUACAAAUGGGCAACUGUUCAUUCCACAGCUAGUUAACCAGAUUCAGAGAGGUUUUUAUAAAUAUUGCUAGUCCUUAGAUUCAAAUUCACAUCUAGCUUUCAUUUUCAAAGCAUAAUCUACCUAUGAUUUUAAGCCCUUCUGUUAAAAUAACCGUUAUUCUUCUGUUGCAAUUGUAGUCUUGGAGGCUAACUGCCUCAGUCUGCUCACCUAGGCCUAGUUCUGGAAGCUUCUAGCCUCUAUAAAUCUAAUCUAGCCCUAGAAUGUUUUCAGUCUCUGAGACUUACUGCAGAAUACACGUAUCCCUUUUUAUUUCUUUCUGAUUUCCCACUGGCUGGUUCUGCUCAGCUGUUCUGGUUCAAACUCCUCUUCAAGCUGACUGAUUCAAUCUAGCUUCACUCAGUUUCUUACUGAAUUUCUUUGCUUAGACUAAUAUUAACUUUGGCAACCUGUUCUAAUCUUCUGGCUCCUUCUCACUCUCUGUCUCCUUCUCUCUCUCUCUCUCUCUCUCUCUCUCUCUCUCUCUCUCUCUCUCUCUCUCUCUCUCUCUCUUUCUCUCUCUCUCUCUAACCUGUCUCUGUACAACUGUCCCAGUAAAACUGCCUUCUUUCUUUUUCUCUGCACUGCUCUCUUAAGUAGCUUGUCUUUUCUGUCUCUUCCCAUAAGAGUUGGUCAUAGAUAUUCUGUCAAAUCUUUCAUAGAUAUUCUGUCAAAUCUUUCUCUGAUUCAUCACUUUGUCUGCCUCUCAAUUAGAUAUCACUUUCAAGCAUGGCUGCUUCCCUCUACAGACUAACUUUACCUUUAUUGUUUGGGAUUAAAGAAGUACACUAAGAGCAUGUCUGUAUUCCGGUCAGAGGAUUAAAGGUGUGUGCUAAGGGCUGAGCAACUAGAAACAUCGUUUUCAGU
This 1486-nucleotide long non-coding RNA is filed under the name Mus musculus (house mouse). RNAcentral's name for it is "long non-coding RNA chr16:43287174-43288660". The record is from RNAcentral. Lineage: Eukaryota; Metazoa; Chordata; Mammalia; Rodentia; Muridae.